AGAGCGAACGCUGGCGGCAGGCCUAACACAUGCAAGUCGAGCGCCCGUAGCAAUACGGGAGCGGCAGACGGGAUAGUAACACGUGGGAACGCGCCCUUCGGUUCGGAAUAACUCAGGGAAACUUGAGCUAAUACCGAAUACGCCCUUACGGGGAAAGAUUUAUUGCCGAAGGAACGGCCCGCGUCCGAUUAGCUAGUUGGUGAGGUAAUGGCUCACCAAGGCUACGAUCGGUAGCUGGUCUGAGAGGAUGACCAGCAUCACUGGGACUGAGACACGGCCCAGACUCCUACGGGAGGCAGCAGUGGGGAAUAUUGGACAAUGGGCGCAAGCCUGAUCCAGCCAUGCCGCGUGGAUGAUGAAGGCCUUAGGGUUGUAAAGUCCUUUUAACGGGGAAGAUAAUGACGGUACCCGUAGAAUAAGCCCGGCUAACUUCGCGCCAGCAGCCGC
This 447-nucleotide ribosomal RNA is filed under the name uncultured bacterium. RNAcentral's name for it is "SSU rRNA". It matches the Rfam family "Bacterial small subunit ribosomal RNA", at positions 26 to 518 of the family's 1533-position model. The record is from RNAcentral.